UGACGUGGAUCUUCCGCCUAGUGGCGCAAGGGUGAGUAACACGUGGGUAAUCUACCUCAGAGACUGGGAUAACAGUUGGAAACGACUGCUAAUACCGCAUAAGCGCACGGUAUCGCAUGAUACAGUGUGAAAAACUCCGGUGGUACAAGAUGGACCCGCGUCUGAUUAGCUGGUUGGUGAGGUAACGGCCCACCAAGGCGACGAUCAGUAGCCGGUCUGAGAGGAUGAACGGCCACACUGGAACUGAGACACGGUCCAGACUCC
This 264-nucleotide ribosomal RNA is filed under the name uncultured Eubacteriales bacterium. RNAcentral's name for it is "uncultured Clostridiales bacterium partial 16S ribosomal RNA". It matches the Rfam family "Bacterial small subunit ribosomal RNA", at positions 75 to 339 of the family's 1533-position model. The record is from RNAcentral. Lineage: Bacteria; Bacillati; Bacillota; Clostridia; Eubacteriales.